UUUUGAAAACUCUUACAGUAACCACCACAAUGAAAAAACAAUAUUGCCCAGAUGUGUUGGAGAGCUGCUAUUAUUAUGUCAUAUUAUUGAGACAAGAUUCUGAAACUCCUUCCCCCAAGAUACAGGAAGGAAAAACGAGAAUGUGGAAAUAAUGGUCUUACCCACUUUCCUGUAGCCCUUGACCUUUGAGCCCUAAUGAACUAUGUAAAGAUCAUCAAAACAAUACGGUUGAAACAGAAAAAAAAAAAGAAGAUUCUGAAACUCAUCUGAACAGGUGGAAUUUGUUCUUCGCAAGCAGCUCUCUGGAAGGUAGAAGGCAGCGUCUCUUCAUGGCGGACAAUCAUCUGGUUAUUCAUUUGAUUGCGUCAUAAAGGGAAAUGUCUAGAUUCAUCCCUGAUUUCUAAAAGAGGACAGGAAUAAGUUCCUUUCAAGGCAGGUGCCUGCUGUGACAACAGGGUUAUGACCCUCCUUCUCCGCCUCGGAACAGUCUAUGAGAGAGCCAUCAUCUCUUACGAAGAGUCAAGAGUCUGACCCAUCAUGGUUCAUGCCUGCCCAGGUGGAAUGCCACUUCCUCCAGGAGGACUUCAAGGAUUGCCCUACUUCCACCAUGGUGCAGGCUGCUGAGGCUGAAUCACCCAGCUCGACUUAGCCUGUACGCAAAUGUGAGCCCUGUUUUUGGAUGUGUACUCAUCGCUACUCCCCUAUUCCUGACCUUUAGCCACCUGACCGCUGGAGCAGUUAUUGUUACCUAUGAAUGAACUCAA
Molecule: long non-coding RNA, 764 nt
Organism: Ochotona princeps (American pika)
Lineage: Eukaryota; Metazoa; Chordata; Mammalia; Lagomorpha; Ochotonidae
Exons: 4
Source: RefSeq, a predicted model, not a curated record